This 476-nucleotide ribosomal RNA is filed under the name uncultured bacterium. RNAcentral's name for it is "bacterial SSU rRNA". It matches the Rfam family "Bacterial small subunit ribosomal RNA", at positions 55 to 527 of the family's 1533-position model. The record is from RNAcentral.
AUGCAAGUCGACGCGUAAGUCGCUUCGGCGGCGAGUAGAGUGGCGGACGGGUGAGUAACGCGUGGGAAUCCGCCCUGUAGUGGGGGACAACCCGAGGAAACUCGGGCUAAUACCGCAUACGUCCUACGGGAGAAAGGAGGCCUCUGAUUCAAGCUUCCGCUACAGGACGAGCCCGCGUCGGAUUAGCUGGUUGGUAGGGUAAAGGCCUACCAAGGCGACGAUCCGUAGCUGGUCUGAGAGGAUGAUCAGCCACACUGGGACUGAGACACGGCCCAGACUCCUACGGGAGGCAGCAGUGGGGAAUAUUGGACAAUGGGGGCAACCCUGAUCCAGCAAUGCCGCGUGUGUGAAGAAGGCCUGCGGGUUGUAAAGCACUUUCAGUCGGGAAGAAAAGCCCGAGGUCAAUAGCCUCGGGACUUGACGUUACCGACACAAGAAGCACCGGCUAACUCCGUGCCAGCAGCCGCGGUAAUACG